CCAUAGUAGCACUCGGGUGGCUAACCAGUAAUUAGCGAGGGUGCCUUUUUGUAUACAUAUGGCCGCUUCGUUAGGCACGGCAGUUCGAGUCCCUUGGUUCACUGCUUUCCGGUCUGUACUGCUAUCCAUGCUGAAAGGUAUUCGUGGGUCUACAAACGCGUCCCGCUGGCGUGUGUGUGCUCCACUGAAGGUCUGUGCUGGAGACGCCGAGUAGGCACCAGUCUCGCUCGCGCUAACCGGAAGGCACGUAGAGGGAAAGAUCCCGGGAGGGGAUCUCUUUUAAUAUGUGGGAGUGAGGAGUGAGUGACGGCGGAGCGCUGCAGAUCCAGACCGCUUCCAGGAGUGAUGCCCAGGGCAGGCAAAGCAGCGGAAGCCGGCAGGAGAAGAGAAGCGAGGCUGGAGCGGCGGCACCCCAGGCUGGGCAGGAGGCGAAUCAGGACGGUACCCCUGUGCAGUAAGGAACGUGACUGGCGGUGUUGCCAUUUGUGUCUGUGCAUUCCUUAUUGCAGUCGGCCCAGCCUUGCAGAGCGGGUGAUUCGUGCCGCUGUGUUCUUUUCCCCCAGCGCGGCCAUAGCGCCUGCUCCGGAGCUGCGCAAGAAGGACGAGUGGCGAAAAUCAGCGUCGAGAGGGAGCGGUCUGGACCAAGGGCAUCAGCAGCACUCCGUCCCUGUUUUUUUUUGUUUUUUGUUUUUUUUAGUCCCACCCUUUGUUUUUGUUUGCGCGUGUGUGUGUUGGCGUGUGUGUGUGAGGACCCACUCCUCCCUGGAGACGAGAGAAGGGCCGCCAUAGAGAAGGGGGCGGGAGGAAGGUUAGGAGGGGUGGGAUCAGUGGAGUGUGAGCCAUCCCUGCAUGAAUUGUGUUUUUUU
Molecule: long non-coding RNA, 866 nt
Organism: Megalops cyprinoides (Indo-Pacific tarpon)
Lineage: Eukaryota; Metazoa; Chordata; Actinopteri; Elopiformes; Megalopidae
Exons: 4
Source: RefSeq, a predicted model, not a curated record